RNAcentral lists this ribosomal RNA (328 nucleotides) under Escherichia coli. RNAcentral's name for it is "bacterial SSU rRNA". It matches the Rfam family "Bacterial small subunit ribosomal RNA", at positions 1 to 325 of the family's 1533-position model. The record is from RNAcentral. Lineage: Bacteria; Pseudomonadati; Pseudomonadota; Gammaproteobacteria; Enterobacterales; Enterobacteriaceae.
AAAUUGAAGAGUUUGAUCAUGGCUCAGAUUGAACGCUGGCGGCAGGCCUAACACAUGCAAGUCGAACGGUAACAGGAAGCAGCUUGCUGCUUUGCUGACGAGUGGCGGACGGGUGAGUAAUGUCUGGGAAACUGCCUGAUGGAGGGGGAUAACUACUGGAAACGGUAGCUAAUACCGCAUAACGUCGCAAGACCAAAGAGGGGGACCUUCGGGCCUCUUGCCAUCGGAUGUGCCCAGAUGGGAUUAGCUUGUUGGUGGGGUAACGGCUCACCAAGGCGACGAUCCCUAGCUGGUCUGAGAGGAUGACCAGCCACACUGGAACUGAGAC